Molecule: ribosomal RNA, 273 nt
Filed under: uncultured bacterium
Lineage: Bacteria
Description: partial 16S ribosomal RNA
Source: RNAcentral
CUGCUGCCUUCCGUAGGAGUUUGGACCGUGUCUCAGUUCCAAUGUGGGGGACCUUCCUCUCAGAACCCCUACGCAUCGUCGGCUUGGUGGGCCGUUGCCCCACCAACUACCUAAUGCGCCGUAUGCCCAUCCGUGACCGGGGUCGCCCCCUUUGGCCGGCAGGGGAUGUCCCCUCCCGGCAUUAUGUUGUAUUAGGCGGGAUUUCUCCCGGUUAUCCAUCUGUCACGGCCAGGUUGCAUACGUGUUACUCACCCGUGCGCCGGUCGCCGGCGG